RNAcentral lists this ribosomal RNA (497 nucleotides) under uncultured bacterium. RNAcentral's name for it is "partial 16S ribosomal RNA". It matches the Rfam family "Bacterial small subunit ribosomal RNA", at positions 28 to 507 of the family's 1533-position model. The record is from RNAcentral.
GAUGAACGCUGGCGGCGUGCCUAAUACAUGCAAGUCGAGCGAACAGACGAGGAGCUUGCUCCUCUGACGUUAGCGGCGGACGGGUGAGUAACACGUGGAUAACCUACCUAUAAGACUGGGAUAACUUCGGGAAACCGGAGCUAAUACCGGAUAAUAUAUUGAACCGCAUGGUUCAAUAGUGAAAGACGGUUUUGCUGUCACUUAUAGAUGGAUCCGCGUCGCAUUAGCUAGUUGGUAAGGUAACGGCUUACCAAGGCAACGAUGCGUAGCCGACCUGAGAGGGUGAUCGGCCACACUGGAACUGAGACACGGUCCAGACUCCUACGGGAGGCAGCAGUAGGGAAUCUUCCGCAAUGGGCGAAAGCCUGACGGAGCAACGCCGCGUGAGUGAUGAAGGUCUUCGGAUCGUAAAACUCUGUUAUUAGGGAAGAACAAAUGUGUAAGUAACUAUGCACGUCUUGACGGUACCUAAUCAGAAAGCCACGGCCAACUUCGUG